UCUUCGAUGGCGGAGUGGUUAACGCACCCAACUAGGGACUGGGAGACCGCAGGUUCGAUUCCUGCUUGAAGAC
This is a non-coding RNA of Topomyia yanbarensis, 73 nucleotides long. The record is from the annotation of a RefSeq genome assembly. Lineage: Eukaryota; Metazoa; Arthropoda; Insecta; Diptera; Culicidae.